UACAGAGGUCCCAAGCGUUGUUCGGAUUCACUGGGCGUAAAGGGUGCGUAGGUGGCCAGGUAAGUUUGGUGUGAAAGCUCGGAGCUUAACUCCGAAAAGUCAUUGAAUACUACCUGGCUGGAGGGUCGGAGGGGAGACUGGAAUUCCUGGUGUAGCGGUGAAAUGCGCAGAUAUCAGGAGGAACACCGGUGGCGAAGGCGGGUCUCUGGGCCGAUACUGACGCUGAGGAGCGAAAGCGUGGGGAGCGAACAGG
Molecule: ribosomal RNA, 253 nt
Filed under: uncultured bacterium
Lineage: Bacteria
Description: partial 16S ribosomal RNA
Rfam family: Bacterial small subunit ribosomal RNA
Source: RNAcentral